RNAcentral lists this ribosomal RNA (497 nucleotides) under uncultured bacterium. RNAcentral describes it as "partial 16S ribosomal RNA". It matches the Rfam family "Bacterial small subunit ribosomal RNA", at positions 28 to 507 of the family's 1533-position model. The record is from RNAcentral.
GAUGAACGCUGGCGGCGUGCCUAAUACAUGCAAGUCGAGCGAACAGACGAGGAGCUUGCUCCUCUGAUGUUAGCGGCGGACGGGUGAGUAACACGUGGAUAACCUACCUAUAAGGCUGGGAUAACUUCGGGAAACCGGAGCUAAUACCGGAUAACAUGUUGAACCGCAUGGUUCAACAGUGAAAGACGGUCUUGCUGUCACUUAUAGAUGGAUCCGCGCCGCAUUAGCUAGUUGGUAAGGUAACGGCUUACCAAGGCAACGAUGCGUAGCCGACCUGAGAGGGUGAUCGGCCACACUGGAACUGAGACACGGUCCAGACUCCUACGGGAGGCAGCAGUAGGGAAUCUUCCGCAAUGGGCGAAAGCCUGACGGAGCAACGCCGCGUGAGUGAAGAAGGUCUUCGGAUCGUAAAACUCUGUUAUUAGGGAAGAACAGAUGUGUAAGUAACUAUGCACGUCUUGACGGUACCUAAUCAGAAAGCCACGGCUAACUACGUG